This 384-nucleotide RNase P RNA is filed under the name Mariniphaga sp. Its description in RNAcentral is "RNase P RNA component class A". It matches the Rfam family "Bacterial RNase P class A". From Rfam's summary of the family: Ribonuclease P (RNase P) is a ubiquitous endoribonuclease, found in archaea, bacteria and eukarya as well as chloroplasts and mitochondria. Lineage: Bacteria; Pseudomonadati; Bacteroidota; Bacteroidia; Marinilabiliales; Prolixibacteraceae. The record is from RNAcentral.
UUCGCAGGCUGUUCUAUCGCCCCAAUUCAUUGGGGAGGAAAGUCCGGGCAAUACAGGGCGCUAUGCUUCCUAACGGGAAGGCGGACGAAAGUUUGCAGUAGUGUAACAGAAAAUAACCGUCCAGACGAAAGUCGGGAUAAGGGUGAAAAGGUGGGGUAAAAGCCCACCGGUAGUCGUGGUAACACGAUUAGCCGUACGCCUCAUGGAUUGUAAGGCCAAAUAUAUUACGAGUUCUUCGGAACACAGGGCUGCCCGCCCUGGUUUCGGCCACCGCAAGGAAACCGGGAGACGUAAGGGGUAGGCUGCAAGAGGCUGUUGGUGACAGCAGUCCCAGAUAAAUGAUAGAAUGAAAAACAGAACCCGGCUUACAGGCCUGCGAUUUUU